Molecule: ribosomal RNA, 493 nt
Filed under: uncultured bacterium
Lineage: Bacteria
Description: partial 16S ribosomal RNA
Rfam family: Bacterial small subunit ribosomal RNA
Source: RNAcentral
GACGAACGCUGGCGGCGUGCCUAACACAUGCAAGUUGAGCGACGAACCAGGGCUUGCCCUGGGGCAAAGCAGCGAACGGGUGAGUAACACGUGGGUAACCUACCCCGAUAACCGGGACAACCCGAGGAAACUCGGGCUAAUACCGGAUGUGCUCACUGGACUUCGGUUCAGUGCGUAAAGGAAGCUUCGGCUUCCGUAUCGGGAGGGGCCCGCGGCCCAUUAGUUUGUUGGUGAGGUAACGGCUCACCAAGACCGCGAUGGGUAGCUGGUCUGAGAGGACGAUCGGCCACACUGGAACUGAGACACGGCCCAGACUCCUACGGGAGGCAGCAGUGGGGAAUCUUGCGCAAUGCGCGAAAGCGUGACGCAGCAACGCCGCGUGGGGGAAGAAGGCCUUCGGGUUGUAAACCCCUUUCAGGAGGGACGAAGGUUCGGCGGUGAAUAGCCGUCCGGACUGACGGUACCUCCACAAGAAGCCCCGGCUAACUACGUG